RNAcentral lists this ribosomal RNA (1553 nucleotides) under Vibrio antiquarius. Its description in RNAcentral is "Vibrio sp. Ex25 16S ribosomal RNA". It matches the Rfam family "Bacterial small subunit ribosomal RNA". The record is from RNAcentral. Lineage: Bacteria; Pseudomonadati; Pseudomonadota; Gammaproteobacteria; Vibrionales; Vibrionaceae.
AAAUUGAAGAGUUUGAUCAUGGCUCAGAUUGAACGCUGGCGGCAGGCCUAACACAUGCAAGUCGAGCGGAAACGAGUUAUCUGAACCUUCGGGGAACGAUAACGGCGUCGAGCGGCGGACGGGUGAGUAAUGCCUAGGAAAUUGCCCUGAUGUGGGGGAUAACCAUUGGAAACGAUGGCUAAUACCGCAUGAUGCCUACGGGCCAAAGAGGGGGACCUUCGGGCCUCUCGCGUCAGGAUAUGCCUAGGUGGGAUUAGCUAGUUGGUGAGGUAAGGGCUCACCAAGGCGACGAUCCCUAGCUGGUCUGAGAGGAUGAUCAGCCACACUGGAACUGAGACACGGUCCAGACUCCUACGGGAGGCAGCAGUGGGGAAUAUUGCACAAUGGGCGCAAGCCUGAUGCAGCCAUGCCGCGUGUGUGAAGAAGGCCUUCGGGUUGUAAAGCACUUUCAGUCGUGAGGAAGGUAGUGUAGUUAAUAGCUGCAUUAUUUGACGUUAGCGACAGAAGAAGCACCGGCUAACUCCGUGCCAGCAGCCGCGGUAAUACGGAGGGUGCGAGCGUUAAUCGGAAUUACUGGGCGUAAAGCGCAUGCAGGUGGUUUGUUAAGUCAGAUGUGAAAGCCCGGGGCUCAACCUCGGAAUAGCAUUUGAAACUGGCAGACUAGAGUACUGUAGAGGGGGGUAGAAUUUCAGGUGUAGCGGUGAAAUGCGUAGAGAUCUGAAGGAAUACCGGUGGCGAAGGCGGCCCCCUGGACAGAUACUGACACUCAGAUGCGAAAGCGUGGGGAGCAAACAGGAUUAGAUACCCUGGUAGUCCACGCCGUAAACGAUGUCUACUUGGAGGUUGUGGCCUUGAGCCGUGGCUUUCGGAGCUAACGCGUUAAGUAGACCGCCUGGGGAGUACGGUCGCAAGAUUAAAACUCAAAUGAAUUGACGGGGGCCCGCACAAGCGGUGGAGCAUGUGGUUUAAUUCGAUGCAACGCGAAGAACCUUACCUACUCUUGACAUCCAGAGAACUUUCCAGAGAUGGAUUGGUGCCUUCGGGAACUCUGAGACAGGUGCUGCAUGGCUGUCGUCAGCUCGUGUUGUGAAAUGUUGGGUUAAGUCCCGCAACGAGCGCAACCCUUAUCCUUGUUUGCCAGCGAGUAAUGUCGGGAACUCCAGGGAGACUGCCGGUGAUAAACCGGAGGAAGGUGGGGACGACGUCAAGUCAUCAUGGCCCUUACGAGUAGGGCUACACACGUGCUACAAUGGCGCAUACAGAGGGUAGCCAACUUGCGAAAGUGAGCGAAUCCCAAAAAGUGCGUCGUAGUCCGGAUUGGAGUCUGCAACUCGACUCCAUGAAGUCGGAAUCGCUAGUAAUCGUGGAUCAGAAUGCCACGGUGAAUACGUUCCCGGGCCUUGUACACACCGCCCGUCACACCAUGGGAGUGGGCUGCAAAAGAAGUAGGUAGUUUAACCUUCGGGGGGACGCUUACCACUUUGUGGUUCAUGACUGGGGUGAAGUCGUAACAAGGUAGCGCUAGGGGAACCUGGCGCUGGAUCACCUCCUUA